Molecule: long non-coding RNA, 237 nt
Organism: Papaver somniferum (opium poppy)
Lineage: Eukaryota; Viridiplantae; Streptophyta; Magnoliopsida; Ranunculales; Papaveraceae
Exons: 3
Source: RefSeq, a predicted model, not a curated record
GGUUGCCACCAUGCGAGCACUCUCAGUUGCAUCUUAUGGACAGAAACCAGUUGGUCGCUGUCAUUCAUGCUUACAGCCAUCUUUGAGAUGAUGAAACCACUUGGAAUGCUUAAAUCUUUGACUAUUCCAACCCAUGCUGAAUGACUUUUAUGUGCAAUAUGCCGUGGAACUAAUAAUUAAACGGACAAGGAGUGUAUCACCCUUGCUUACGCGACAAUGCAUGGAUGGCUCCUGAAG